UUGACCUCGGAUCAGGUAGGGAUACCCGCUGAACUUAAGCAUAUCAAUAAGCGGAGGAAAAGAAACCAACAGGGAUUGCCUCAGUAACGGCGAGUGAAGCGGCAAGAGCUCAAAUUUGAAAUCUGGCCCCUUCGGGGUCCGAGUUGUAAUUUGUAGAGGAUGCUUCGGGUGCGGCCCCCGUCUAAGUGCUCUGGAACGGGCCAUCGGAGAGGGUGAGAAUCCCGUCUGGGACGGGGUGUCCGCGUCCAUGUGAAGCUCCUUCGACGAGUCGAGUUGUUUGGGAAUGCAGCUCUAAAUGGGUGGUAAAUUUCAUCUAAAGCUAAAUACUGGCCGGAGACCGAUAGCGCACAAGUAGAGUGAUCGAAAGAUGAAAAGCACUUUGAAAAGAGAGUUAAACAGCACGUGAAAUUGUUGAAAGGGAAGCGCUUGCGACCAGACUCGCUUCCGGGGUUCAGCCGGCUUUCGGGCCGGUGUACUUCCCCGGGGGCGGGCCAGCGUCGGUUUGGGCGGCCGGUCAAAGGCCCCUGGAAUGUAACGCCCCUCGGGGCGCCUUAUAGCCAGGGGUGUCAUGCGGCCAGCCUGGACCGAGGAACGCGCUUCGGCACGGACGCUGGCAUAAUGGUCGUAAACGACCCGUCUUGAAACACGGACCAAGGAGUCUAACAUCUACGCGAGUGUUCGGGUGUCAAACCCGUGCGCGCAGUGAAAGCGAACGGAGGUGGGAGCCCCCUCGAGGGGCGCACCAUCGACCGAUCCUGAUGUCUUCGGAUGGAUUUGAGUAAGAGCGUAGCUGUGGGGACCCGAAAGAUGGUGAACUAUGCCUGAAUAGGGCGAAGCCAGAGGAAACUCUGGUGGAGGCUCGCAGCGGUUCUGACGUGCAAAUCGAUCGUCAAAUUUGGG
RNAcentral lists this ribosomal RNA (900 nucleotides) under Aspergillus pseudoglaucus. Its description in RNAcentral is "eukaryotic LSU rRNA". It matches the Rfam family "Eukaryotic large subunit ribosomal RNA", at positions 1 to 915 of the family's 3401-position model. The record is from RNAcentral. Lineage: Eukaryota; Fungi; Ascomycota; Eurotiomycetes; Eurotiales; Aspergillaceae.